Molecule: ribosomal RNA, 497 nt
Filed under: uncultured bacterium
Lineage: Bacteria
Description: partial 16S ribosomal RNA
Rfam family: Bacterial small subunit ribosomal RNA
Source: RNAcentral
GAUGAACGCUGGCGGCGUGCCUAAUACAUGCAAGUCGAGCGGACGGACAAGAAGCUUUCUUCCUUGCUGUUAGCGGCGGACGGGCGAGUAACACGUACAUCACCUUCUUCUUAUUCUUGGAUAACUUCGGAAAACCGGAGACAAUACUAGCUCAUACUUUGUACGGCUUGGAUCAAAAGUUCAACACGGCUUUCCCGUCUCAUUUAGCUGGUUUCGCGCUGCAUUAGCUAGUUGGUAAGGUAACGGCUUACCAAGGCAACGAUGCUUAGCCGACCUGAGAGGGUGAUCGGCCACACUGGAACUGAGACACGGUCCAGACUCCUACGGGAGGCAGCAGUAGGGAAUAUUCCGCAAUGGGCGAAAGCCUGACGGAGCAACGCCGCGUGAGUGAUGAAGGUCUUCGGAUCGUAAAACUCUGUUAUUGGGGAAGAACAUAUGUGUAAGUAACUGUGCACAUCUUGACGGUACCUAAUCAGAAAGCCACGGCUAACUACGUG